AUCCAGUGAGUGACGAAUCCCACAUAGGACGAAAUGCUCAUCCUGGAU
This 48-nucleotide non-coding RNA is filed under the name Trichobilharzia regenti. Lineage: Eukaryota; Metazoa; Platyhelminthes; Trematoda; Strigeidida; Schistosomatidae. The record is from RNAcentral.